UGGGGUGUAGCCAAGUGGUAAGGCACGGGACUUUGACUCCCGCAUUCGCUGGUUCGAACCCAGCCAUCCCAGCCA
RNAcentral lists this transfer RNA (75 nucleotides) under Pseudoflavonifractor sp. 524-17. Its description in RNAcentral is "tRNA-Gln". It matches the Rfam family "tRNA". From Rfam's summary of the family: Transfer RNA (tRNA) molecules are approximately 80 nucleotides in length. Their secondary structure includes four short double-helical elements and three loops (D, anti-codon, and T loops). Lineage: Bacteria; Bacillati; Bacillota; Clostridia; Eubacteriales; Oscillospiraceae. RNAcentral also lists the same sequence under 1 other name. The record is from RNAcentral.